UUUGAUGGCGACCGGCGCACGGGUGAGUAACACGUAUCCAACCUGCCGAUGACUCGGGGAUAGCCUUUCGAAAGAAAGAUUAAUACCCGAUGGCAUAGUUCUUCCGCAUGGUAGAACUAUUAAAGAAUUUCGGUCAUCGAUGGGGAUGCGUUCCAUUAGAUAGUAGGCGGGGUAACGGCCCACCUAGUCUUCGAUGGGUAGGGGUUCUGAGAGGAAGGUCCCCCACAUUGGAACUGAGACACGGUCCAA
RNAcentral lists this ribosomal RNA (249 nucleotides) under uncultured bacterium. RNAcentral's name for it is "partial 16S ribosomal RNA". It matches the Rfam family "Bacterial small subunit ribosomal RNA", at positions 84 to 334 of the family's 1533-position model. The record is from RNAcentral.